Molecule: ribosomal RNA, 120 nt
Filed under: Vibrio chagasii
Lineage: Bacteria; Pseudomonadati; Pseudomonadota; Gammaproteobacteria; Vibrionales; Vibrionaceae
Description: partial 23S ribosomal RNA
Rfam family: Bacterial large subunit ribosomal RNA (bases 1-102)
Source: RNAcentral
GUCCUAAAGGGUUGUUCAAGACUAGAACGUUGAUAGGCAGGGUGUGUAAGCGCUGUGAGGCGUUGAGCUAACCUGUACUAAUUGCCCGUGAGGCUUAACCAUACAACACCCAAGGGGUUU